CCUACGGGUGGCAGCAGUGGGGAAUUUUGCGCAAUGCUCGUAAGAGUGACGCAGCGACGCCGCGUGAAUGACGAAGGCCUUCGGGUCGUAAAGUUCUUUCGACAGGGAAGAAAAUGCCUAUAAGUAACUGUGUAUGUAUUGACGGUACCUGUAUAAGCAGCACCGGCUAACUACGUGCCAGCAGCCGCGGUAAUACGGAGGGGGCGAGCGUUGUUCGGAGUGACUGGGCGUAAAGAGCACGUAGGCGGUGUUGUAAGUCAUUAGUCAAAGACUAGAGCUCAACUUUAGUAAGGCUAGUGAUACUAUAAUACGAGAGUAUCAGAGAGGAUUGCAGAAUUCCUGGUGUAGCGGUGAAAGGCGUAGAUAUCAGGAGGAAUACCGUUAGCGAAGGCGGCAAUCUGGCUGGAAACUGACGCUGAGGUGCGAAAGCGUGGGUAGCAAACAGGAUUAGAUAUCCCAGUAGUC
This 465-nucleotide ribosomal RNA is filed under the name uncultured bacterium. RNAcentral's name for it is "partial 16S ribosomal RNA". It matches the Rfam family "Bacterial small subunit ribosomal RNA", at positions 338 to 795 of the family's 1533-position model. The record is from RNAcentral.